AUAAUACGGGCAUGUGUUGGGCUACACGACCGUGGGAAAAGCUAAUUACAUUACACAGGGCGUGCCAGAAGGCUGUGUGCCAAUAUCUUAAUUCGCGAAGAACACGACUGAGCCGCGGCCCACACGGGCGUGUGCACCGGCCGUGCCAUUUGAGAAAUGAGAAUAAUUAUUUUAUUUUAUUUUCCUUUCAUUAAGUUUUUAAGAUUCAUUUGCUUUCCUUUUCAACAUGGCUUAUCUUUGUGACCUUUGCUUGAUA
Molecule: long non-coding RNA, 256 nt
Filed under: Gossypium barbadense (sea-island cotton)
Lineage: Eukaryota; Viridiplantae; Streptophyta; Magnoliopsida; Malvales; Malvaceae
Description: long non-coding RNA (GBAR_LNC000180)
Source: RNAcentral